Molecule: ribosomal RNA, 255 nt
Filed under: uncultured bacterium
Lineage: Bacteria
Description: partial 16S ribosomal RNA
Rfam family: Bacterial small subunit ribosomal RNA
Source: RNAcentral
UACGAAGGGUGCAAGCGUUACUCGGAAUUACUGGGCGUAAAGCGUGCGUAGGCGGUUUGUUAAGUCUGUCGUGAAAGCCCUGGGCUCAACCUGGGAAUUGCGAUGGAUACUGGCAAGCUAGAGUACGGUAGAGGAUGGUGGAAUUCCCGGUGUAGCGGUGAAAUGCGUAGAGAUCAUGAGGAAGACCAGUGGCGAAGGCGGGUCUCUGGACAGUUCCUGACACUGAGGCACGAAGGCCAGGGGGAGCAAACGGGG